AAAUUAUGAUGCAAAAUUAAUUCCGGUACGAGACCGUGGCUUUCUUGUGCAGACUAUUGAAUUUGCUGAGCAGCGGAUACCAGUAUUGAAUGAAUACUGCGUAGUCUGUGAUGAACCCCAUGUAUUCCAGAACGGCCCUAUGCUGAGGCCUACUGUUUGUGAACGGGAGCUCUGUGUAUUUGCUUUCCAAACGUUAGGCGUGAUGAA
Oxyura jamaicensis (ruddy duck) is the source of this 207-nucleotide long non-coding RNA. RefSeq lists it as uncharacterized. The record is from RefSeq and is a predicted model, not a curated record. The transcript has 3 exons. NCBI's taxonomy places the organism in Eukaryota, Metazoa, Chordata, Aves, Anseriformes, Anatidae.